GACAACGCUCUGCUCGUGUUUCCUCCAGCAGCUGCUUCUCCCAGCAGACAGAACGAGGGGCAGCCCAGGCCCAGGGUGCCCACCUGGGCUGGCAAACACCAGGCAGGGAAGUGGCAGCUCGCUGUAUUUUGGGUGCUUCUACUCCAUCAGAUGCAUUUAGAGUCAACUGGAAAUCAGGCAGAAAGUAAAGUAAUGGAAUAUCUGGAGUUGAAAGGGACCCAUAAGGAUCAUUGAGCCCAACUCCAUGUUCCUUGCAGGACCACCUGUCCUGUCAGAAAGAGAAAUCUGUUUUAUCAAUGCUUUCCACUCUGUCAGUUGGGCUGGAUUUAUCCAACACCUCGUUCCCUGGUGUUGGUGUCCCCUCCUGUGAUCCCCAUCAGGAUACAGCUCUGAAUAGGUGAUGGCACUUCCUUAGGGAUGGCACAACAUUCCAGUGUCUGUUUUUCCAUCCUUUGCUGCUGGUGCUGGUGAGGAAAAAAGACUUGCUAUGAGAACUGCCAGACAACAAUGUCCCAUUGCUGGGAUUCCCCUCGCCCUGGGGCCAGGCACAGCAGGAGGGGGAGCCCAUGGGGGCUGUGUGGGAUCCCCUCCAGCUCUGGGCAGCACAGAUCCCUUCCAUGAUCUCCUCAGCCCUGCUCUCCUGUUACACACAAACAGAGCAAGCCUGGGACAGCCCAGAGAAUCCCCCAGGCCGUGUCCUUCAGCCCCUCUGAAGCUGCUGGGACCUCUGGACCCUUUUCCAUCAGGAGCAGCUCUCGCAAAGAGUCCAAGCACACUUUACAUGGUGCAAAGACCACAGCUGAUCCUCAGCUAGGCAUAAAAGAAAAGAAUGACCAGAGAAGAUGAUGAACAGCCCGUAGCAUUUUAAAUUGGCUCCCAGGCAGAUACAAGAACCAUCCAGGACCUGGCUCCUUUGGAACAUUCCCUUUCAGCAGGAUGAGGGAGGAGCUGCCUUACCUGGGUGGUGCUGCACAGGAUUUACCCCACAGCAGCACCCAAGGGAACCUUUGCUUCAGUGUCUUUGAAUCACCCAUAUGAAGACAUUAGACAAGAUAAGGAUUUCUGUUCCUUGGAGCUGUCACCAAGAGAAAUGUAAUGGCUCUGGAAAUAAGGAACAAGUGACUUGCUCCAUUUCUUGCAGGAGAUUAAAUAUACGCUAUCCAAAAAUAGCUGAUGUACAUACUUUUCUCUGGAAAAUGGAGACAAUUCCAAAAUCAAAGGUGUCAGCCAGGGAUAGAAUUGAUGCUGCAGAGGCAGCACAGGCAGUCAAUGGACCUGGGAGCAAUUUUCAUAGCAACCCCCUGGCAAAACAUCUCCCGCUUUGGAUAUGAUCACAAACCCAAACUCCGCUCAG
RNAcentral lists this long non-coding RNA (1354 nucleotides) under Cyanistes caeruleus (blue tit). Its description in RNAcentral is "lncRNA (ENSCCEG00000020698.1)". The record is from RNAcentral. Lineage: Eukaryota; Metazoa; Chordata; Aves; Passeriformes; Paridae.